ACUCGUGACCUCGCCAGCUCUCAGCUCCCUCGGGCGAUUUCGUGCACGCUAAUGUGCGCCUCUGUGUUUUCCUAAAUGCUGGUUUCUUCAUCAAGCGGCGGAAUAACGCAUCAGGGCAGGUGACCCACGUCACCGGGGUGAUGCACUGGUGCUCGCCGGGGCGGGCGCUGUGCCUGCGGGAGCCGCGCGGCCGGCGCGGUGUCGGGGCGCCUCGUGGGGGCCGAGCCGCGCCCGCACGUCCCUCAGAAACGGGAUCUCACAAUGUUGGUCUGAAACUCCUGAGCUCAUGUGAUCCUCCUGCCUCAGCCUCCCGAGUUGCUGGGAUUACAGGCAUGAGCCGCCGUGCCCAGCUAGUUUAUUUUUAUAUUCUGUAUUACUGUGGACCGGAAAAUCCAAGAGUUUGCCUGUACCCUAUGGGAAAAUUGUCUCUCAGCUGCAACGUGCCCAGCGUUCUCAGCAGUCAGGGCAAAUUCAACUACAGCAGCCACCGCCCAUCUUACCGAAGCUAAACCAGACAUGGAUGUUAUUAUCUGCUGCAUCCAGCAUUUGUUUAGAGCUUUCUGCUUCACAAAGCAACUCAUUAUCUUAAUCUUCACCAUCAUCCUACAUUGCUCUUACUUCCACUUUAUGAACAGUCAGUCUCAGAAAGCUAAGGCAUCUUCCUCAAAGCAGCUGUAGGAUUCAAACUGUGUGUCCGGGGACUCCAGAUUCUUUGUGCUUUCUACACAUUUAGAUUUCAUGGUAACAUCAAAAAUCAGGAUUCCUGGAUCUGGAGCAGUUUAUUCCCUCGGCCUUCCUCCCACCCAUUGCCAUCCCAGCCCAUUUCUAUAACCAUCAAAUGGGCAAUGUUUUUUUUUUUUUUUUUUUUUUGAGACAUGGUCUCACUCUGUCACCCAGGCUGGAGGGCGGUGGCGCAAUCUCGGCUCACUGCAACCUCUGCCUCCCAGGUUCAAGCGAUUCUCCUGCCUCAGCCUCCUGAGUAGCUGGGAUUACAGGCGCCCGCCAGCAAGCCCUGCUAAUUUUUUUGUAUUUUUAGUAGAGAUGGGGUUUCGCCAUGUUGGCCAGGCUGGUCUCAAACUCCUGACCUCAAGUGAUCCACCCGCUUCGGCCUCCCAAAGUGCUGGGAUUACAGGCGUGAGCCACCGCGGCCGGCCUAAAUUGGCAAGAAUUUUCACUGUUCAAUGAAGAACAUCCUUUUGCAGCCAAUUAUUCCAACAUUGCCUUCCUGAAGGACUCUUUCAAAAUCAUCAAGAAGAUUUCACUACAAAAGCAAUAUGGGAAUAUUGUAGAAAAAAGUACGAAAUAUAGAAAAAAGAAAAUAAAAGUCAUAAUUCUGCCAUUGAACAAGAAUUUAAGAUUUUUACUUCCAUGAUUUUUACUACAGACAUAUGGACUGACUUACGUUUAUAAAAAUGACAAGGGUGCCUACCCCAUAAUACUGUUUUGGAACCUGCUUUUAAAUUUAAUAUAUUGUAAGCAUUUUCCUGAAAUAUUUUUUGCCAUCAUAUUUAAGAGAUACACAUAUUUCAUUAUAGUUUUUCUUUUUUUGAGACAGGGUCUCACUCUGUUGUCCAGGCUACAGGGUACAGUGGUGUGAUCUCAGCUCACUGCAAUCUCCGUCUCCCAGGUUCAAGCAAUUCUUGUGCCUCAGUUUCCCAAGUAGCUGGGACUACAGGAGCACGCUACCACGCCCGGCUAAUUUUUUUUGUAUUUUUUGGUAGAGACGGGGUUUCACCAUGUUGGCCAGGCUGAUCUUGAACUCCUGACCUCAAGUAAUCCGCCUGCCUUGCCCUCCCAGAGUGCUGGGAUUACAAGUGUGAGCCACCACACACAGCUUACUUAAUUAUAAUUUUUAAUGUACUC
RNAcentral lists this long non-coding RNA (1863 nucleotides) under Homo sapiens (human). RNAcentral describes it as "non-protein coding lnc-CFL1-1:5". The record is from RNAcentral. Lineage: Eukaryota; Metazoa; Chordata; Mammalia; Primates; Hominidae.